AGACUCCGCCCCUUCCUGAUUAUGAACCUGACACACUUGGGAGGUCCCAGAGGCCAAUAAGAGGGCCUGGCAGACCACAGAGAAGCAGGUGAGGAGAGGAGAGACAUGGCGUGGUAACCGGUGUGGGCGACGGCCGCGCAGAGCGGCACAGAGGCCCGGCUACGGGCAGCUGGCCGAGGCGUGCGGCAAAGGAGAACGGGACCGGAGAUCGCGGACCACCGCGCACUGGAGAGAGUGAUCGGGGCUGAGCAGAGAGUUGGCACCAGAAUGAAGAGGUAGACAGGACGGCGACGAUCCUGUUGGUUUUUGCGCCGUUUGGACUUUUAUGGGACUUGAUCUUCAUGGCUGAGGCCAUUGCAUUGUGGCUGUAUUGUUUUAAUUGCUUUUAAUGUUUUAACUUCAUGUUUCUGCCUGGCCACAGUAUUUUAGUGCUUUCUUUGUAAAUAAAUUAGUUUUAACAACUUGAGUUUAUAUUUGCUACUUCCCUUCUGUUUUAAACUUACCACCUGUUAAUCCUAGCAUUACACGUGUACCAAAGACACCAUGUCCCAGUGACCCCCAGGAUUACAGGCCUGUGGCACUGACCUCCCACAUCAUGAAGACCCUGGAAAGACUCAUCCUGGACCAGCUCCGACCCAUAGUCAGACCACAUCAGGAUCCCCUAUCUAGCUUACCAGCCACGUCCAAGAUAAAGACAAUGUUGGACAAUACCUCCCACCCACUUCAUGACAUGCUGGCUAGCCACAGGAACACGUUCAGUGAGAGACUGAGAUUACCAAAAAGCACCACUGAACAACAUAGGAAAUCAUUCCUGCCUGUGGCCAUCUCCCUGUAUAAAUCCUCCAUCUAAUACACUGUAAACACUGCAAUAGUUACAUUCUUUUGCACAUGCUGUUUCUCACUCAUUAAUGUUGCUGUCUAUUUUCUUGAUAUUUAUUUAUAACCACAUUUGUCAACCCUGGAUAUUAAUUAUAUGGUGAUUUGUAUAUAUUGUAUAUAUUGUGCUAUUCCUUAUAUCUGAACAUAUUGUAUUGCUAAUAGUCUAGUCUGUUUUUGUUUUUGUUUCUAUUAAUGUUACUAUACUGGAGCAACCAUAACCCACAUAAUUUCCCCAGGGAUUAAUAAAGUAUUCUGAUUCUGA
Molecule: long non-coding RNA, 1141 nt
Organism: Oreochromis niloticus (Nile tilapia)
Lineage: Eukaryota; Metazoa; Chordata; Actinopteri; Cichliformes; Cichlidae
Exons: 2
Source: RefSeq, a predicted model, not a curated record